CACGCAGGCGGUGAGAUAAGUCAGAUGUGAAAUCCCCGGGCUCAACCCGGGAGCUGCAUUUGAAACUGUGUCACUGGAGUCUCGUAGAGGGGGUAGAAUUCCACGUGUAGCGGUGAAAUGCGUAGAGAUGUGGAGGAAUACCGGUGGCGAAGGCGGCCCCCGUCGGACGAAGACUGACGCUCAUGUGCGAAAGCGUGGGUAGCAAACA
Molecule: ribosomal RNA, 208 nt
Filed under: uncultured bacterium
Lineage: Bacteria
Description: partial 16S ribosomal RNA
Rfam family: Bacterial small subunit ribosomal RNA
Source: RNAcentral